This 506-nucleotide ribosomal RNA is filed under the name uncultured bacterium. RNAcentral's name for it is "partial 16S ribosomal RNA". It matches the Rfam family "Bacterial small subunit ribosomal RNA", at positions 29 to 523 of the family's 1533-position model. The record is from RNAcentral.
AUUGAACGCUGGCGGCAGGCCUAACACAUGCAAGUCGAACGGCAGCACAGAAGAGCUUGCUCUUUGGGUGGCGAGUGGCGGACGGGUGAGUAAUGUCUGGGAAACUGCCCGAUGGAGGGGGAUAACCACUGGAAACGGUAGCUAAUACCGCAUAACGUCGCGAGACCAAAGUGGGGGACCUUCGGGCCUCACACCAUCGGAUGUGCCCAGAUGGGAUUAGCUAGUAGGUGGGGUAAUGGCUCACCUAGGCGACGAUCCCUAGCUGGUCUGCGAGGAUGCCCAGCCACGCUGGAACUGAGACACGGGCCAGACUCCUACGGGAGGCAGCAGUGGGGAAUAUUGCACAGUGGGCGGAAGCCUGAUGCAGCCAUGCCGCGUGUAUGAAGAAGGCCUUCGGGUUGUAAAGUACUUUCAGCGGGGAGGAAGGCGGUGAGGUUAAUAACCUCGCCGAUUGACGUUACCCGCAGAAGAAGCACCGGCUAACUCCGUGCCAGCCGCCGCGGUAA